UACGUAGGGUGCAAGCGUUAAUCGGAAUUACUGGGCGUAAAGCGCACGUAGGCGGUUAGUUAAGUUGGAUGUGAAAGCCCCGGGCUCAACCUGGGAAUUGCAUUUGAAACUGGGAAACUAGAGUGUGUGAGAGGGGGGUAGAAUUCCAAGUGUAGCGGUGAAAUGCGUAGAGAUUUGGAGGAAUACCAGUGGCGAAGGCGGCCCCCUGGCACAACACUGACGCUCAGGUGCGAAAGCGUGGGGAGCAAACAGG
Molecule: ribosomal RNA, 253 nt
Filed under: uncultured bacterium
Lineage: Bacteria
Description: partial 16S ribosomal RNA
Rfam family: Bacterial small subunit ribosomal RNA
Source: RNAcentral